RNAcentral lists this ribosomal RNA (253 nucleotides) under uncultured bacterium. RNAcentral's name for it is "partial 16S ribosomal RNA". It matches the Rfam family "Bacterial small subunit ribosomal RNA", at positions 524 to 776 of the family's 1533-position model. The record is from RNAcentral.
UACGUAGGGUGCAAGCGUUAUCCGGAAUCACUGGGCGUAAAGCGUCCGCAGCCGGGAGUUUAAGUGAGAUGUUAAAUCGUGUGGCUCAACCAUAUCGAUGCAUCUCAUACUGGACACCUAGAGGAAAUCAGAGGCAAAUGGAAUUAGCAGUGUAGCAGUGAAAUGCGUAGAUAUUGCUAGGAACACCAAUGGCGAAGGCAGUUUGCUGGGAUUUUUCUGACGGUCAGGGACGAAAGCGUGGGGAGCGAACAGG